This is a long non-coding RNA of Culex quinquefasciatus (southern house mosquito), 293 nucleotides long. RefSeq lists it as uncharacterized. Lineage: Eukaryota; Metazoa; Arthropoda; Insecta; Diptera; Culicidae. The record is from RefSeq and is a predicted model, not a curated record. The transcript is spliced from 2 exons.
GAUUUCUGUCCUUUCUUCUACUCACUCAAAUAGUCUUCCUCCUCACAAUAAACCUCCUUCCUUGACCUUCCUACAGUCCUUCUCCUUCGCCAGUUCCUGUUUAUUGUUUAUAUUUUGUUAAUUAAUCAUAUUUCUUCUUUUUCAGGUAAACUCACAGCUUAUCAUCACCGUCAUCACCGUGGCGCCAAGUGACGGUACGGUGAACGGUGCUGUUCUUCAAUCGUCGUGCGCAGCUGGUGUUUUUGGAUAGGCUUCAAAUAAACGUUGAUUUUCGGCCCUAACGCACUAAAUUA